UACGUAGGGUGCGAGCGUUGUCCGGAAUUACUGGGCGUAAAGAGCUCGUAGGUGGUUUUGUCGCGUUGUUCGUGAAAUCUCACGGCUUAACUGUGAGCGUGCGGGCGAUACGGGCAGACUAGAGUACUGCAGGGGAGACUGGAAUUCCUGGUGUAGCGGUGGAAUGCGCAGAUAUCAGGAGGAACACCGGUGGCGAAGGCGGGGUCUCUGGGCAGUAACUGACGCUGAGGAGCGAAAAGCGUGGGGGAGCGAACAGG
This 257-nucleotide ribosomal RNA is filed under the name uncultured bacterium. RNAcentral describes it as "partial 16S ribosomal RNA". It matches the Rfam family "Bacterial small subunit ribosomal RNA", at positions 524 to 776 of the family's 1533-position model. The record is from RNAcentral.